GCAAGUCGAGCGCACCUUCGGGUGAGCGGCGGACGGGUUAGUAACGCGUGGGAAUAUACCCUUCACUACGGAAUAGCCUCGGGAAACUGAGAGUAAUACCGUAUACGCCCUUCGGGGGAAAGAUUUAUCGGUGAAGGAUUGGCCCGCGUUUGAUUAGAUAGUUGGUGGGGUAAUGGCCCACCAAGCCGACGAUCCAUAGCUGGUUUGAGAGGAUGAUC
RNAcentral lists this ribosomal RNA (218 nucleotides) under uncultured bacterium. RNAcentral describes it as "partial 16S ribosomal RNA". It matches the Rfam family "Bacterial small subunit ribosomal RNA", at positions 57 to 305 of the family's 1533-position model. The record is from RNAcentral.